GCUGUGCUGUUUAGAGCUCCCGAGCACACACCCUUCUGCGUCGUCCGAUCGAAAUCGCCGCAUCAGGUGCUGGGCGGUCGGGUCCAUGCCGCCCAAAGACCAAUUCCUCUCUCUUGUCUCACAAGCUCACCCCCACCCCCCACUGUGCACACCUGACACCUUCCUCCAUGCCCCGGCGAGAUCCGAUGCGCCCCGCCUCCGUCGACCUGGCCCUCGUGCUGGCCCGCCUCCACCGAGCCAACCCUGCGCCGGAGCUCUUCCUUCCCCGGCCUUCUUCCCCGCUGACGCACCCACACCCCGACCGGCAGCAAAGCAUCCCACCCGAGCGGACGCGCUCCUUGCCCACAGACUGGCGCCGACGCGGCCCCGCACCCAACUUCUCCCUCCCGUCGUCGUCCUACGUCCCGCCGCGUCGAUCCCUCGCCGGGUCGAUGCAUCCCACGGCUGGGACCUUCGAUCCCCGUCGGAUCUGGGCCGAAGGUUGCGGCUGCUUCGGCUGGCCCCUGCAAAUUCCAACCAUCGACGACGCCCCUGCUCGUUGUGGACUCGUGGACCUAUGAAUCCACAAGUCAACAUGUAGUGCCGGAGCAUGGGCUGCAUCGGCAAGGUCGACAAGGCCAUCAGGCCAUGGCCUUCGUGAGAACCUUCACAGAGGUGGAAAUGGCGGUGGGAGAUGUCGGCACUGGAGUCGUGGCCGUGGCGGGGAAGAUGAAGCGGGCGGAGCUAUGCCAGUGGCUCAAGAGGAAGACAAGGAAGGAUGUGAAGAUUUUUUGUCCUCGUCCACCGGCUGAGAAUCUUGUUAAGCAGAAUCGUGUCUACUCUGUUCUUGCCAGAAUGAUGAUACAAACACCAAUUAUAUGAACCUACAGAUGAAUCUACAGGUCCAAGGAGUACCUGUCCCGAUAGCCUACCUAGCCAUUGUUGCUUUGUUCCAUUUUCUCAUGGACAAGAUGGAUAUGUAAUGUCUGGUAGUCUGUAGUUGCCCUUUCGUCAAACUCGUCGAGCAAAGGCGGCAUUGUAUCUCUGAAUUUUGACAACAAGCAAUUUUUGGGAGGGCUCGAGGUGGAAGUUGUUUGACGGUGGGGCAUGAGUUGCCUUCUCGUGUAUAUGUUAUCUGAGAAACUGAUAAGUAGAGUGCACAAGUUGGAGUGCCUCGGGAAAAUGCCAAAAAUUGCCCAACUUUGAGGAGACAGUUUCUACACAUGCUGGACCCCCAAACAAAACCUUUCCAAGCUAUCAAAGUAAUGCCCAAGUAAGGAAACCUCUACCAGCAAUCACCUACUCUCCAGGACGCAGUACAAAACAUUGCAGGAUAUUAGAGAAAUGAGGGAAAACGCAAUGGGAGAAAAGUUUGCACCCACGAUGAACAAAGGUCCUUUCGAUGGGGUGGAUUCACUGCCCCCGUCCUCCUUUUGCAUGUGGGAGAAGAAAAGAAGAAGAGUGUGGGGACAGGUGGGGAGAGAAGAAGAAAGGAGGGAGGGGCCAAUGGGCGCAGGGGCAGUUGAGAGGAGAGAAGCUGGGUGGAAGGGGGGACAUGGGAGACGGUCGUCUCUUUACUUUCCAAAUCUGUAUUGAGGGGGGACCGAAACAUGCCUAUAGGGGAGGCUGCCAGGGGCACUAGCGGGCAAACGAUUGCCCGCUAGACGCGUCCAGCCGCGGAGAAUUUUGUCGGCACAUGUGCACCCGGCUUGUGCGCCCGUGCUUGUCCUCUCACGAGGACGGGUGGGGCAGUGUUGCUUCUAGUCCCGCACGUCGGUUGGAUUGGGUUAGAGCAUGGUAUUUAGAUUAUGUAUUUCCUUGGUCAACCACUACUGCGGCAUCGGUCCUCAGGGCAUGUACAAUGGUUGAUAACAUAGUCUUAUCUUAGGUCUUACAUGUAAUCAGGGGCGAAGCUACGUAUAGCUACCCGGUGUCACUGGCACCGGGUGCAAUUUGCAUGCACUUAUCAGCUUAGUGUGUAGGCCAUUCAAUUGUUUGAUAUGUAGGCAUGUGUUCUUCUAUAUGGACACCGGGUAAUUUUAAGUCUGGAUUCGCCCCUGCAUGUAAUUAAGAGAUGACCAAAAAAAGAUGAGCUUUAUCUUCAUAACUAGUUAUUUCUAAAAACAUGGUGACACAUAUUGUGCUAAGAUAUCAUCUCUUGUCUUAUCUUAAAUAAGAGAAGACAAGACUUUUUUUAUGAGUUCUCUCUCCUCCAUUUCAUCAUUUAUCCUACAUGACACUUCUAAGAUAGUGCCAUUGUACAUACCCUCAUGCGCUGCCCGCGUCGUGGGGAGUUGUUGCGUCAGCUGCGGACGGGUGGGCCGGCGCAUGUGCACCCGGCUGGUGCGCACAUUUUUCUGCCGACACGAUGACGUGUGGCCCCGUGCUUCUCCUGGUCCCGAUUGUCGGUUGCGGUGGCUGCGCUGCCUGGGGAUAUAGGAGAGAGAAGAGGAGACGGCAUGGGCGGCUUGUCCCUUCCUUUCCGCUACUGAGAACGUGCGCGCAGAAAGGACCCAGCCGCGCCGUCCGCUCCUUCGCGCAAGCCCCCCUCCCCCACACACAGCCGCCGCACCCUUCUUCCCGUCCUCCACCCCGCCUGGGCGCCGCCUCCUCCUCUCCCUCUUCCGCGGCUCGCCCAGCCACCGUUCCCAGCCCCGCUGCUUCGUCGUUUGCUCCUCCACUGACGGCAGUUUAGGUAAGACGAAGAUGAGCGUCCGAUCUACGCCCUCGCCAGGUUGCCUCCAUUAGUGAGGAGCGGCCGAUCCACGUGUGUGCCGUCGCUGCAGGGAUAGCGAAUGUCAGCGAGAUAGGCCGUCGUUGGAGCACGCAGCCGUGCCCCCCUCCGCUUCUCCUGGCGGCACCUCUCUACGUGAGCUCCUUCCUUCAAUCCCUUGCGUUGCCUCUCUUCCUGCUCCUUCCCCUCAUCCUUCUCAUCCCAUAUAUUUCCAUUUGUUUCUGCAAUUAUACUCCAUGGUGCUUGCACGCCCAUGGAUCUGGAAGUAGACAUUUUAGUGUUUGUACUAUUCCAUUAUCUGUUUUUUUUCAAAGGUUGAUGUACUAACUACAUAUGUUUUGCUUUCAUUUACCUCAUCUUUUUCAUAGGCUUCCGAAGUAUUUCUAUUGAAAGCUGGACAAUUUCACUGUAGAAAUGGUUUUAUCUAUACACUUCCACUAUAACUUAUCUUCAUGUGUUCAGUGAGAAACCUGGUUCUGAAAUUUGACCAUGAAAUUUUACAUAAUGCAGCGGAGUCCAUUCUUCUUGGCUUUCAACGCUGCCUGUUCUUGCUGUGAACUAUUGUUAUAUUACGCUCUGCAGUCGCUCUGCAGAUGGGAGGAAACAAUGAGGACAGGGCAGUUUUUAUGCAGAUGUUGAUGUUUUUGGCUGGAAUCAACACCCUUCUAAAGAGUUUCUUUGGUUACCUAAUUGCCUGCAGUGAUUGGUGGAUCACACACCUUUGUUCUACCUACCAUUUUGAUCAUACUUGUGGGACGCUAUGCAGACGAAUCAGAUCCACACGUAUUAUAUGUUGAAAAGAAGGGUAAUUCUACUUGCCUCCCAGUAAUCUUUUCCUGCAUGUAAACUGAUGAAUCACCUGGAUUUCGUUUUUGAUGGAAUUCCCCAAAAUCUUGCAUGGAGCAAAAGGUGCUUUGAUCGUUGCUUCUGUACUUGGUGAUCUUCUUUACUGUUUAAUAGUUGCUUCAUGUUUCUAUAGGAUACCCCCAUGCUACAUGGCAACCAUAGUGAGCAUGUCAAAAGUUUAGCAUGAUUAUUAUAAUUCUCUUCUCUGUAAAUUAUUAUAUGAAGUUUGCGUUUUGCUUGGUUAACUCUUCUGAAGCUCACAUGCUUUUCUUAAAGCUUGGUGCUGACACUCAUAAAUCUGUUGUAGGCUCACUAUAUAAGAUAAUGAAUCUGUGUUCUAUAGACUAUCGUGGUAAAGAGGUUUUUAUCAGGUUAUUCAUUCCCAUGCAUUGAACCUAUGGUUCUAACUUUUGCCCAUGAUAAAGAAAAUGGGGUUUACCGCUUUUAAUCAACAUCUAAUUAAACCAACAAAACAUCUACAGUUCCGCCAGCAUAACAUUUUUUUUGCUGGUGGACAUACCAAAUUACUCAUAUGUAUCAUAUUAUGUUGCUUCCCAUAUUGUUUUCUCCCAGGAAUGACGAGGCAUUCAGGUUCUCUUUUUAGCUUUCCUACACAGGAACAUAUUGCAAAAUUAAUAUACAUAACGUUGUUCCACCUACAGGUCUAUCUUAUAUCUACAGGUAUAUACAUGCAUUCUUUGUUCUUUUUCUUCAGUGAUCUACUGAUCUUCAUGAUUUAGUUUAGUGGUAGAGUUAGCAAAAUCUGUCAUGGAGCAGAUUGUGCUUGACUUCACGUGUGUAUGAUGUAAUAUGAAUUAAUGGUUUCUUUGUGGUUGACUCGGUUGUGUGCCUUUUGUCUGAAUCAAUAGAGAAAAAUCUGAAUAUAUACCUGAAUGUGGUGGUUUCACACAUUCUGAACGAAGCUACCAAUGAGUAUACCUUGCUUCUGAAAUCAUGAGCUUUUUCCUUCUAUGAAAAGUGAUAAAGUUACAACAUAGUUUGCUCAAAGGCGUGCAUAACUGCAGAUUGAGCAAGGCACAAUCUGAGAAGAAAAUAAAAUAAAAUUAGAAACAGUGUGUGCAUCAUGUGUAUGUUUGCUCACGAGAUGUGUAUAUGUUGGCUGAGCGACGCUGUUGGGAGUGCCGGUCGUGGCGCCUCGCCUCGGGAGCCCGUCGACGUGGUGUGCUCCUGCGUCCCCGCCUUGGCCGCCUCGCGUUGGACAGGAGGGGAUAAGUCAAUCCCUAAUUAAGAUAUCCAAUGAAACUGGCAACAUCAUUAUGGAAUGGAAAUGAUUGGAUGACAAAUUGUAUAGAUUUAGUAUCGUAUCAUUUAUUUGUGACUGCAUGAUCUUAAUUGCGUGUCUCUGAAUAUUUUAUGCCCUUGCUCUUGGGACAUUAGACUGAUGUGGUGUUGCUUUAUAAAUAAAUGACAUGCUUACUUACGGGUUUGAUUUAGGUGUGUAGGCUAAGGCGAAAAAAGAAUCAUAAUCUCAGGUUUGGGCAUGCACAUGGCCACUGAUCACAAAAUAAGUAGGCACAGGUGCAGUAUUGUGAUUUUUAAGCAAGAGAGUGAUUUUCAGCAAGAGAAAGAGAAGUACAGUUAAUUGUUCAUAUUUUAAGCUGCACUUGAACCUUGUCCUAAUAAGUACUCCCUGUGUUUCUAAAUAUAAGUCUUUAUAGAGAUUUCAAUAGAAACUACAUAUGGAUGUAUAUAGACGUAGUUUGGAGUGUAGACUCACUCAUUUUGCUCUGUGUGUAGUCCAUAUUGUAAUAUCUAAAAAUACUUAUAUUUAGGAACGGUGGGAGUAGAACUGUUAUGAUGUUGCUCAAUUAUAAGUGCCUCACUUAAAUGCUUGGUUAGGUCGAGUGUAUAGCAAUGAGAAGUCUAGCUGAACAAUGCUAGAAAUAACAUUAAUGUGUUAUAAGCUUCAGAUAAGCCAAAUAUUUUGUGACAAGCUUUGGAAAUUACCUGGGCUGGGAAACAGCAAUAUGUAGCUAUCCUGUGUUGCAUGCAGGCAAUGCUUGUGUAUAGCUAUGCCACAUCUGCUAUCUGACACUCAGCCCCAGUUUUUAUAACAAUUAGAAUUUGUGAUUCUAAUCUGAUUCAUUGUGUUACAGGAUCCUUUGCAUAUUGGCCUCUUCUUACCGGCAUCUGGUAAAAGUUGUGAUCGAGGAGAAGAUAAUGACGGUCUUAUAACUCUGGCAAGCCCGGCUGACAGUCCUUCUUGCUCUCCUCUUGGUAUAACAUUCAAUGGUAGUGAUAGCUUUGGGCGUGACUCUGCACCCUUUCAUGUAAUUGUGUUCCUUGAACGAUAUUUAUAAUUGUGAUACUCAGUUUAUGAGAGACAAAUGGACCAAUGGUUAAUGAUCCUGUGUUGAGAAAAAAAAUGGAAUGUGCAUUGAGUGGCUUUAGUUUUC
Triticum aestivum (bread wheat) is the source of this 5976-nucleotide long non-coding RNA. RefSeq lists it as uncharacterized. Lineage: Eukaryota; Viridiplantae; Streptophyta; Magnoliopsida; Poales; Poaceae. The record is from RefSeq and is a predicted model, not a curated record. The transcript has 7 exons.